GACGAACGCUGGCGGCGUGCUUAACACAUGCAAGUCGAACGGAAAGGCCCUGCUUUUGUGGGGUGCUCGAGUGGCGAACGGGUGAGUAACACGUGAGUAACCUGCCCUUGACUUUGGGAUAACUUCAGGAAACUGGGGCUAAUACCGGAUAGGAGCUCCUGCUGCAUGUUGGGGGUUGGAAAGUUUCGGCGGUUGGGGAUGGACUCGCGGCUUAUCGGCUUGUUGGUGGGGUAGUGGCUUACCAAGGCUUUGACGGGUAGCCGGCCUGAGAGGGUGACCGGCCACAUUGGGACUGAGAUACGGCCCAGACUCCUACGGGAGGCAGCAGUGGGGAAUAUUGCACAAUGGGCGGAAGCCUGAUGCAGCAACGCCGCGUGCGGGAUGACGGCCUUCGGGUUGUAAACCGCUUUCGCCUGUGACGAAGAGUGAGUGACGGUAAUGGGUAAAGAAGCACCGGCUAACUACGUG
RNAcentral lists this ribosomal RNA (468 nucleotides) under uncultured bacterium. RNAcentral's name for it is "partial 16S ribosomal RNA". It matches the Rfam family "Bacterial small subunit ribosomal RNA", at positions 28 to 507 of the family's 1533-position model. The record is from RNAcentral.